RNAcentral lists this ribosomal RNA (263 nucleotides) under uncultured bacterium. Its description in RNAcentral is "partial 16S ribosomal RNA". It matches the Rfam family "Bacterial small subunit ribosomal RNA", at positions 91 to 354 of the family's 1533-position model. The record is from RNAcentral.
CCCAGUGGCGGACGGGUGAGUAACGCGUGGGUAACCUGCCCUGUACAGGGGGACAACAGCCGGAAACGGCUGCUAAUACCGCAUAAGCCCGCGGCGCCGCAUGGCGCUGCGGGGAAAACUCCGGUGGUACAGGAUGGGCCCGCGUCUGAUUAGCCAGUUGGCGGGGUAACGGCCCACCAAGGCAGCGAUCAGUAGCCGGCUUGAGAGAGUGGACGGCCACAUUGGGACUGAGACACGGCCCAGACUCCUACGGAAGGCAGCAG